Molecule: long non-coding RNA, 229 nt
Organism: Morone saxatilis (striped sea-bass)
Lineage: Eukaryota; Metazoa; Chordata; Actinopteri; Moronidae
Exons: 3
Source: RefSeq, a predicted model, not a curated record
UCUACCUGCACGCUUGUUUGUGGCACAGACACAGAGGAGGCUCGACACCACUCUACUUCGACGGGACUGAACAGAACAGAUUGGAAAUCUGAGAAAAUAUCGGCAUCAUGUCAAAAGAUGUUGACAGAAAGCAGGUGUUUCAAACCACCAGGGUGCGGACUUCACUGAAGAAUGAUAUCAGUUGGAUCCAGAAAUCAAAUCAGGAAAAUAAAGAAGAAGACAAAGCAAG